AUAAAUACCCGUAGAAGUUGAAGCAGCUGCAAAUGCAUCGAACCUCUCCAGCACUUCUAUUAUACAGGACUUCAUAAUCUCUAAUUUCCCUCCUAUUUCCUUCACUCAUAACACGCUCCUUAACCAAAAAUAUUAUAAUCGGUCCAUCGACAUGUAUCUGUGUUGUGCUAAAACAAGAGUACAUUUCUUCCACCUCGAAUUGGAACUUCUUAAAUAUUUCCCUAGUGUACAGUUUUGACAGCUGCAACUCAAAAGAACAUCUGGUUUUCAACAUUGGGCCUGAGCUUCUAGACUCAAUAUCUGCAUUGGUUUCUUCUUUGUGCUUUUUUUGUAGGGCUAGUUCAUACUUGUCAAGAAAUUCUUUCAAAGGAGUUUGUUUGUGCACGUAUCUAUCAAAAAAUGGGUUCAAUGCCUCACCUGGGAGGGCAGCAGACAUUCCAGCAAAAAAUGUGUCUUUUAAAUAAACAGGAGCCCACCGAAUUCGAUCUUCAUACAGUGAUCGUAGCCAUUCAUGAUCAACAACUCCAAAUCGCUGGACCAUGAAUACCCAUGCUGCUUCAAAUUCAAUCACUUUCAAAGUCUCAUACACUGCUUUAAUCAAGGCUUUUCUGAUUGCAUCAUAGUUAAGCAAU
RNAcentral lists this unclassified non-coding RNA (632 nucleotides) under Hevea brasiliensis (rubber tree). Lineage: Eukaryota; Viridiplantae; Streptophyta; Magnoliopsida; Malpighiales; Euphorbiaceae. The record is from RNAcentral.